UGGCUUCCAUCUGGAAGAAGUCUGGAGACAGGUGCUGCAUGGCUGUCGUCAGCUCGUGUCGUGAGAUGUUGGGUUAAGUCCCGCAACGAGCGCAACCCUUGCCUUUAGUUGCCAGCAGUUCGGCUGGGCACUCUAAAGGGACUGCCGGUGUUAAACCGGAGGAAGGUGGGGGAUGACGUCAAGUCCUCAUGGCCUUUAUGACCAGGGCUACACACGUACUACAAUGGCCGAUACAAAGGGCAGCGACACUGCGAGGUGAAGCCAAUCCCGUAAAAUCGGUCUCAGUCCGGAUUGGAGUCUGCAACUCGACUCCAUGAAGUUGGAAUCGCUAGUAAUCGUGGAUCAGCAUGCCACGGUGAAUACGUUCCCGGGCCUU
RNAcentral lists this ribosomal RNA (376 nucleotides) under uncultured Desulfobulbus sp. RNAcentral's name for it is "bacterial SSU rRNA". It matches the Rfam family "Bacterial small subunit ribosomal RNA", at positions 1012 to 1382 of the family's 1533-position model. Lineage: Bacteria; Pseudomonadati; Thermodesulfobacteriota; Desulfobulbia; Desulfobulbales; Desulfobulbaceae. The record is from RNAcentral.